RNAcentral lists this ribosomal RNA (1345 nucleotides) under Bacillus sp. (in: firmicutes). Its description in RNAcentral is "bacterial SSU rRNA". It matches the Rfam family "Bacterial small subunit ribosomal RNA", at positions 57 to 1386 of the family's 1533-position model. Lineage: Bacteria; Bacillati; Bacillota; Bacilli; Caryophanales; Bacillaceae. The record is from RNAcentral.
GCAGUCGAGCGGACAGAAGGGAGCUUGCUCCCGGAUGUUAGCGGCGGACGGGUGAGUAACAMGKGGGUAACCUGCCUGUAAGACUGGGAUAACUCCGGGAAACCGGAGCUAAUACCGGAUAGUUCCUUGAACCGCAUGGUUCAAGGAUGAAAGACGGUUUCGGCUGUCACUUACAGAUGGACCCGCGGCGCAUUAGCUAGUUGGUGAGGUAACGGCUCACCAAGGCGACGAUGCGUAGCCGACCUGAGAGGGUGAUCGGCCACACUGGGACUGAGACACGGCCCAGACUCCUACGGGAGGCAGCAGUAGGGAAUCUUCCGCAAUGGACGAAAGUCUGACGGAGCAACGCCGCGUGAGUGAUGAAGGUUUUCGGAUCGUAAAGCUCUGUUGUUAGGGAAGAACAAGUGCAAGAGUAACUGCUUGCACCUUGACGGUACCUAACCAGAAAGCCACGGCUAACUACGUGCCAGCAGCCGCGGUAAUACGUAGGUGGCAAGCGUUGUCCGGAAUUAUUGGGCGUAAAGGGCUCGCAGGCGGUUUCUUAAGUCUGAUGUGAAAGCCCCCGGCUCAACCGGGGAGGGUCAUUGGAAACUGGGAAACUUGAGUGCAGAAGAGGAGAGUGGAAUUCCACGUGUAGCGGUGAAAUGCGUAGAGAUGUGGAGGAACACCAGUGGCGAAGGCGACUCUCUGGUCUGUAACUGACGCUGAGGAGCGAAAGCGUGGGGAGCGAACAGGAUUAGAUACCCUGGUAGUCCACGCCGUAAACGAUGAGUGCUAAGUGUUAGGGGGUUUCCGCCCCUUAGUGCUGCAGCUAACGCAUUAAGCACUCCGCCUGGGGAGUACGGUCGCAAGACUGAAACUCAAAGGAAUUGACGGGGGCCCGCACAAGCGGUGGAGCAUGUGGUUUAAUUCGAAGCAACGCGAAGAACCUUACCAGGUCUUGACAUCCUCUGACAACCCUAGAGAUAGGGCUUUCCCUUCGGRGACARAGUGACAGGUGGUGCAUGGUUGUCGUCAGCUCGUGUCGUGAGAUGUUGGGUUAAGUCCCGCAACGAGCGCAACCCUUGAUCUUAGUUGCCAGCAUUYAGUUGGGCACUCUAAGGUGACUGCCGGUGACAAACCGGAGGAAGGUGGGGAUGACGUCAAAUCAUCAUGCCCCUUAUGACCUGGGCUACACACGUGCUACAAUGGACAGAACAAAGGGCUGCGAGACCGCAAGGUUUAGCCAAUCCCACAAAUCUGUUCUCAGUUCGGAUCGCAGUCUGCAACUCGACUGCGUGAAGCUGGAAUCGCUAGUAAUCGCKKAUYUUGCAUGCCGCGGUGAAUACGUUCCCGGGCCUUGUAC